RNAcentral lists this ribosomal RNA (799 nucleotides) under Rhodococcus sp. LCK-2009.33d. Its description in RNAcentral is "bacterial SSU rRNA". It matches the Rfam family "Bacterial small subunit ribosomal RNA", at positions 96 to 907 of the family's 1533-position model. Lineage: Bacteria; Bacillati; Actinomycetota; Actinomycetes; Mycobacteriales; Nocardiaceae. The record is from RNAcentral.
CGGCGAACGGGUGAGUAACACGUGGGUGAUCUGCCCUGCACUUCGGGAUAAGCCUGGGAAACUGGGUCUAAUACCGGAUAUGACCUCAGGUUGCAUGACUUGGGGUGGAAAGAUUUAUCGGUGCAGGAUGGGCCCGCGGCCUAUCAGCUUGUUGGUGGGGUAAUGGCCUACCAAGGCGACGACGGGUAGCCGACCUGAGAGGGUGACCGGCCACACUGGGACUGAGACACGGCCCAGACUCCUACGGGAGGCAGCAGUGGGGAAUAUUGCACAAUGGGCGAAAGCCUGAUGCAGCGACGCCGCGUGAGGGAUGACGGCCUUCGGGUUGUAAACCUCUUUCAGCAGGGACGAAGCGCAAGUGACGGUACCUGCAGAAGAAGCACCGGCUAACUACGUGCCAGCAGCCGCGGUAAUACGUAGGGUGCAAGCGUUGUCCGGAAUUACUGGGCGUAAAGAGUUCGUAGGCGGUUUGUCGCGUCGUUUGUGAAAACCAGCAGCUCAACUGCUGGCUUGCAGGCGAUACGGGCAGACUUGAGUACUGCAGGGGAGACUGGAAUUCCUGGUGUAGCGGUGAAAUGCGCAGAUAUCAGGAGGAACACCGGUGGCGAAGGCGGGUCUCUGGGCAGUAACUGACGCUGAGGAACGAAAGCGUGGGUAGCGAACAGGAUUAGAUACCCUGGUAGUCCACGCCGUAAACGGUGGGCGCUAGGUGUGGGUUCCUUCCACGGAAUCCGUGCCGUAGCUAACGCAUUAAGCGCCCCGCCUGGGGGAGUACGGCCGCAAGGCUAAAACUCAAGAA